UUCCGGUUGAUCCUGCCGGACCCGACUGCUAUCAGAGUGGGACUAAGCCAUGCGAGUCAACAUAGCAAUAUGUGGCAUACGGCUCAGUAACACGUAGUCAACAUGCCCAGGGGACGUGGAUAACCUCGGGAAACUGAGGAUAAACCGCGAUAAGUCACUGCUUCUGGAAUGGGCAAUGACUUAAAUCUAUAUGGCCCCUGGAUUGGACUGCGGCCGAUCAGGCUGUUGGUGAGGUAAUGGCCCGCCAAACCUGUAACCGGUACGGGCUCUGAGAGGAGGAGCCCGGAGAUGGGCACUGAGACAAGGGCCCAGGCCCUAUGGGGCGCAGCAGGCGCGAAACCUCUGCAAUAGGCGAAAGCCUGACAGGGUUACUCUGAGUGAUUUCCGUUAAGGAGAUCUUUUGGCACCUCUAAAAAUGGUGCAGAAUAAGGGGUGGGCAAGUCUGGUGUCAGCCGCCGCGGUAAUACCAGCACCCCGAGUGGUCGGGACGUUUAUUGAGCCUAAAGCAUCCGUAGCCGGUUCUGCAAGUCUUCCGUUAAAUCCACCUGCUUAACAGAUGGGCCGCGGAAGAUACUAUAGAGCUAGGAGGCGGGAGAGGCAAGCGGUACUCGAUGGGUAGGGGUAAAAUCCGUUGAUCCAUUGAAGACCACCAGUGGCGAAGGCGGCUUGCCAGAACGCGCUCGACGGUGAGGGAUGAAAGCUGGGGGAGCAAACCGGAUUAGAUACCCGGGUAGUCCCAG
RNAcentral lists this ribosomal RNA (740 nucleotides) under uncultured archaeon. RNAcentral describes it as "bacterial SSU rRNA". It matches the Rfam family "Archaeal small subunit ribosomal RNA", at positions 1 to 750 of the family's 1478-position model. The record is from RNAcentral.